Non-coding RNA from Chlamydomonas reinhardtii, 72 nucleotides. Lineage: Eukaryota; Viridiplantae; Chlorophyta; Chlorophyceae; Chlamydomonadales; Chlamydomonadaceae. The record is from Rfam.
GGGAGUUUGGUCUAGUGGUAUGAUUCUCGCUUCGGGUGCGAGAGGUCACGGGUUCGAUUCCCGUAACUCCCC